Long non-coding RNA from Phyllostomus discolor (pale spear-nosed bat), 96 nucleotides. RefSeq lists it as uncharacterized. The transcript has 3 exons. The record is from RefSeq and is a predicted model, not a curated record. NCBI's taxonomy places the organism in Eukaryota, Metazoa, Chordata, Mammalia, Chiroptera, Phyllostomidae.
CAGCAAUCAAGGCUCAACUACAACAGGAGGGUGUACACAGCCCACACAGGGGAGUGCACCUGGAGUAUCCAGCUCUGAGUGAUCAGGAAGGAUGUG